This 330-nucleotide ribosomal RNA is filed under the name uncultured eukaryote. RNAcentral's name for it is "partial 18S ribosomal RNA". It matches the Rfam family "Eukaryotic small subunit ribosomal RNA", at positions 1470 to 1796 of the family's 1831-position model. The record is from RNAcentral.
CCCUUAGAUGUUCUGGGCCGCACGCGCGCUACACUGUCGGAUUCAGCGAGUCUUAACCUUAACCGAAAGGUUUGGGUAAUCUUUUGAAAGUCCGACGUGAUGGGGAUUGAUCAUUGCAAUUAUUGAUCAUGAACGAGGAAUUCCUAGUAAGCGCGAGUCAUCAGCUCGCGUUGAUUACGUCCCUGCCCUUUGUACACACCGCCCGUCGCUACUACCGAUUGAAUGGUUUAGUGAGGACUCCUGAUUGGCGCCGCCGCCCCGGCAACGGAGCAGCGGACUGCCGAAAAGUUGUUCAAACUUGAUCAUUUAGAGGAAGUAAAAGUCGUAACA